Molecule: ribosomal RNA, 253 nt
Filed under: uncultured bacterium
Lineage: Bacteria
Description: partial 16S ribosomal RNA
Rfam family: Bacterial small subunit ribosomal RNA
Source: RNAcentral
UACGAAGGGGGCUAGCGUUGCUCGGAAUCACUGGGCGUAAAGCGCACGUAGGCGGAUUGUUAAGUCAGGGGUGAAAUCCUGGAGCUCAACUCCAGAACUGCCUUUGAUACUGGCGAUCUCGAGUUCGGGAGAGGUGAGUGGAACUGCGAGUGUAGAGGUGAAAUUCGUAGAUAUUCGGAAGAACACCAGUGGCGAAGGCGACUUACUGGACACAUAUUGACGCUGAGGUGCGAAAGCGUGGGGAGCAAACAGG